This 1229-nucleotide long non-coding RNA is filed under the name Coturnix japonica (Japanese quail). Its description in RNAcentral is "lncRNA (ENSCJPG00005006128.1)". The record is from RNAcentral. Lineage: Eukaryota; Metazoa; Chordata; Aves; Galliformes; Phasianidae.
CCGCCCCUCCCGGCCUCUCCCUGCUCGGAGCCACGCGCGCCCCCUGGGGCCCCUCCCGGAGGCUGCAACCUGGGACCCCUCGCUGCCGGCAUCAGAGACAGCCUUCAUCGGACCCUCCUCCUCCUCCUCUCUUCGAGGGAAACUGCGUGCGAGCGGAGGGAGGAAGGGCAGAGCGAACCCCCCGCGAAUCCCAUCUGAAUAAACGUCUGUAUUAAUGAAUUAUUAACUCGGCCGCUCGUGACCUUAAAGCUGCAAUGAGGAGACGCCUAGGGCAAGAAGGAAAGCUGCUGCAUCCUUUAUCGGACUCCUGUCAGAGGGAACCGACCAUUCGUCUUCUCCGGAUCGGGAGAAUUAAUUAAUAUGAAAGGCAAACUUUUUAAUUCUGUGUCAAACGAAAUCAGAUAGGGUGUCCCCGACUACGUCUCUUCGCAAAAGGUUUCAUCUCCCUUUACUGCCACCACCCCAACGUAAAACCUACGGGAUCCCAAAGAGAUGGACAUCCUUCCUAGGGGUUAUUAAAAAAGAAGAGGGGGGAAAAAAAAUCCCCGGGAAAAUGAUGAAUUUGGGCAGUUAAUUUAUCGAUCUUGGCUGCUCUUCCCGCUUGUUUUAUUUUAGAGGUCAUUAAUCAAUGAAGAAAAACACCACCGUGUUCCCCCUCUGCAUUUAAUACACUUACCCUCCUUAUUUAUUUCUUUUGAACAAAUUCCUUGCAAAUAUUCACCGAUCGAUCGGCAGGCGAUGGAUUUUUAUAAAGCGCUCAUCGAGCGGCUCCAGCUCCGCGAGAAAAAGCCGAAGGAUGCGGCUGGGAUCCUCCUCGCUUCCUUCCCUUCUUCCCCUGCUGGACGGGGGAUGCAGAGGAGCAGCGUCCAGGCUGAGGGCUCUGCGUUUCGUGUCACCAACUCAGUCACGCAACGAGCUGCCCGAGGAAACACCGCGCAGCGAAGGAGUGAAGUCCUCCCAAGUACGAGCCCGAGCGGAAUAUUUCUGUUAACAGCCGAAGGCAAAUGCAGAUAUUGACAAUGUACUUAAGCCCAUUAGCUGGGAGCUUUUCCCCACUUCAUCACGUUCACGUACCGUGAAACGAAUUUGUAGGGGCUGCUGCCACUAAAAACAACUCACUGUUUUGUUUUUUUUUAAAAAAAAAAAAGAUGCUUGGUAAUGAAAAGGGCGAUAAUGAGGAGAUGCACAUCAAAAAUAAACUAGUAAUAUGGAAAUAAAAAUGGAGUGUG